UGUCUCGCGAGAGUUCCGGUUUUCGGCGGUGCUUUGUCAAUUGGUCUGGCUCCUCCGGCUCUUGGAACCUUUUGCCCGGUCGAGGCUGAGUAGGGGGCUGUCUGGUGUCGUGGGUACGGCCAGGGACUUUGACGAGGCGCAGGCUGGGAGCUGCGUCUCCUCCCACCCUGGAGCCCGAGGCCCAGGUGAGGCGCGGCCCGGGCAUUGGGUUCUCGGGCUGGACCUUUACCUGCCUUCUCCUCAGGAGCGGAGAUGGGCUGGCAGAGACGCUCUGCUGCCACUUGGCAGAAGGACCCCGUGGUAGGAAAGCGAGACCCGAUUAAGCCCUGCCAGAGUUCAAGUGGAGUCACACUUACAUUUUGAACUUCGUUUCUAAUGCAGACACUUAAAGCAGCUCUAUUCACCUCCCAAAAAGGUGUUCAAGCUGAGAUGGUAUAUAUAUGAUGCCGAAACCUUCAUCAACUCCUCCAAAGCUUGUUUGCACUCUUCUGUUUGGACUGUUUUUCCAUGUGUGGCUUGUGAAAUCACAGGAGUGACUGUUGCCCAGGUACAUGAUUUGAGCAGAGUCAAACCUGCGGAGUUGAGUGUGACAAAGGAGAGAGCGUGGAGCCUAGAGGUUUAUUGGGAACCUGGCCCUCUGUUACCGUAGUACCUAAAUUUCUACCUUGUCUUUUCAGGGAGAACGAGAUUCCAUGCUUCGAGUUUUGAAAGGCAUGACUGCAGUUAGCAACGUGUGAAUAACAACAUACACAAUCUCUUCAUCAACAACAAGGAACUGCAUUCUGACCUUCACAUUGUCUACGUGUGCUACUGAGUGUGGGGUCAUAUCCUAAGCUUCAGCUCUAAUAAGCAUUCAUCACAGGGAAGGUACGAUCUUGGAUAUUCAGUUGGCCACAAAUAGCUUUAAGUACAUUUAUGGUCAAGUCAAAUGGUAGCUUUGCUGAAACAUUAAUAGAAAAGCAUUGGUAAUUCAUGUCAGAAUGAGAUACAAGAUAAUAGGUGAAAAAUGAUUUCACAGAAAAGAAAUUUUGAUAAACCUAGAAAACAAUUUCAGUUAUUUUUGUCCAUUAACAUUAGCAUUUUAGUUUAAAGAGCUACUUGAAUCACAUGUUGUUCCUUCCCAUAAGAAGAGAUUUUGAGUACAACAGGAUGAAUUUCUCAUUGAGAAACUUGUUUUUGCCCCAGUUUCCUUUCUAGUCUCCAGUAGGACACUGUCAUCAUUCAGUAUUGGUAUUGUAGCAACUUAGAUGCACCAAAUUGCAACAUAUAGGACUUAAGUCAGAGCCCCAUGGCAGUGACUCUGAAAAGACUAGUUUUAUUAGUUAUACUAUUAAGGGUUUUUUGUUGCUGUUUUAAAAGACUCCCAGAAAUCCAAAUUUACAUUUUGUGGAACAUGAGCCAAAACUAAUUGAGGUUGUUAUGGAAAAAUGGUCUCAUUUUAAUGGUCUGUAUUACCUCUGGGACCCUGCUGGUCAAAGCUGUGUGGCCCACAAGGCAAAAAUUAGAAUGAUGUUUUUCAUAUUAUCUUAAUUUUUUAUUACUGACUUUGUUACAGCUUGAUCUUUGGAGGUGCUUUGUACUGUGUAAAUGAAAUUUACUGAAAAUGUACAUAAAUGACGUCCCAAUAAACCAUAAAUUGAUUUUUUUA
Molecule: long non-coding RNA, 1648 nt
Organism: Felis catus (domestic cat)
Lineage: Eukaryota; Metazoa; Chordata; Mammalia; Carnivora; Felidae
Exons: 5
Source: RefSeq, a predicted model, not a curated record